AAUCUAUACAAACCCAACAAUGUCGUUAUUAAACUGUGACCCCAACAUAAUGAUUAUUUGAGAAGCCCACAGAGCAACCCGCUGAGCAUUAAUGAUUUUGGAUACAAGCUUCCUAGAUUCACCAUCACAGAAGACGAUCUACUAGCUGCUGCCAAAGAGAUGAGGAUCCCACAGAGCAUAGUUGCUGCAAUUACUCAAGACAUUUUCAUAAAGAGCUGCCAAAUAAACUACCGCAUGGAUCAGCCAGCCGGUGUUUAAAGUGUGCAUAAUCUGUCCAGACACAUCAUUGCGGACCGUUGAUAACUGCUUCAAUGAUUUUGCAAUUCAGCUAACGGGCAAUUUGAAACUACCAAGCCAGCUACCAAGAGUGGCAUCAUAAUGCCAAAUCCUAAACAGAAGCUUUAUUUGUCACAGCAUGAUAAAUGGGGGAAGAUUUUCCAUUCACUCGUGAUUUAAUGUUUGUAACGGAAAAUCUAUUGAAAAUCCUUCCUGGCUGCUGGGAUAGGAAGAUGCUGUCAACUCUAGCAACAAUAACUAUUUAUUGCAUUAUUUUAAUUGCGUUAACAAGGAUGCCGCAUUACCAAUAAUACUGCAUAUUUCUUGAAUUACCUGGAUUUCUAAAAGUAGUGAAUCCUUCAAAUUGGCAUGCUUCAGAUUUGUUUACCAAGAAAGACAUGUCCCUGUCGUCUGCAAAUAAUGUGAUUGGCAACCUCUGGACUUGCUGCUAAAUAGUAAAGGCACUUGGGUAACAAAUUGGUAAAUGCAAAUAGUAAAGGUGCCAAGCAGCAGCUGAUUGUACAGAUUAAUCAAACACAAUAAACUCGAGCUGAAUGCUUCAAAAUCAACUUCCAAAAUCUAGUUAGGCGUAAAACAGAGACUAAACCUCUGAUAUUACAGGAAUGCCUCAUGGCACAUCUUUGCCUGUUUUGUAGAAUAAACUCGUAUAGGUGUUAUGAUCUCAUUUUCUGACAUCCCUGAAGUCGUUCUUUAACUUGUAUCUCACAAGUCAAAAUUAGUAUCACUAUAGAGAGUUAUGUUGAAACUACGAUGGGGAUCCUCAAACUAUCACUUGCAAGGUAACAUACAAACGUUUCCCAAGAGGGUAAAUGUAUCUACAUUAGAACGUAAUGAUGUAUUUCAAGCUUCCAAUGCCAAGAGAAAAUAGGUCCCAGCCACCUCAACACUCACUUCUAUACACAGACAUACAGCUCUUAAAUGUCUAGAGGGUAUACGUGGCAUGGCAAAAACAUAUCAGCAUCUUCUACCAAUAAAAAACUA
Populus euphratica (Euphrates poplar) is the source of this 1278-nucleotide long non-coding RNA. RefSeq lists it as uncharacterized. The record is from RefSeq and is a predicted model, not a curated record. The transcript is spliced from 2 exons. Lineage: Eukaryota; Viridiplantae; Streptophyta; Magnoliopsida; Malpighiales; Salicaceae.